GGUCUUAUAUUCAUUUAUGAUAUUAGAAUGCAAUUCUAAAGGUAUAAGGAAUAAUACAAUUAUUAAGACUU
Molecule: transfer RNA, 71 nt
Filed under: Metallyticus splendidus
Lineage: Eukaryota; Metazoa; Arthropoda; Insecta; Mantodea; Metallyticidae
Also listed under: 1 other name
Description: tRNA-Cys
Source: RNAcentral